RNAcentral lists this ribosomal RNA (317 nucleotides) under uncultured eukaryote. RNAcentral describes it as "partial 18S ribosomal RNA". It matches the Rfam family "Eukaryotic small subunit ribosomal RNA", at positions 1470 to 1796 of the family's 1831-position model. The record is from RNAcentral.
CCCUUAGAUGUUCUGGGCCGCACGCGCGCUACACUGAUCGGUGCAACAAGCAUCCGUCCUUGGCCGACAGGCCCGGGCAAUCUUUGAACGCCGGUCGUGAUGGGGAUAGACCUUUGCAAUUUUUGGUCUUCAACGAGGAAUUCCUAGUAAACGCAAGUCAUCAACUUGCAUUGAUUACGUCCCUGCCCUUUGUACACACCGCCCGUCGCACCUACCGAUUGAAUGGUCCGGUGAGACCUCCGGAUUGGCGCGUGCCCUCGGGCGCCGCCGAGAAGUUGGUUAAACCUUACCAUUUAGAGGAAGGUGAAGUCGUANCA